GGGGUGGGAAUGGUUGCUGGAGCGUUAGUCAAUGUUGUUGUUGGUGCUGCUGGAGCAGGUGUAGGAGUUGGAGGGUCAGCCAGCACAGAACUAGAAGCAGGUGCCUUGCUACUAGAUGUCGUCUUGGCAGUUGAUGCCCCACAUGAAGAACCCGUAGCCUUCUUCAACAUAACCACAAGAAAAGUAUUUUCAGAAAUUUUAUUAUCAUCCAAUGUUGCAUUAUCAUCAUUUAGAACUUUCCCUUGAUAUAUAAGCAUUUGUUGUUCAGCUGGGUAAACAUUUUGGCCCUGUGUACUCUCUAUAAUCUUUUUUACAUCAGCAACCGUAUCCUCGGGCUUGGCUUCAAUCUCGAACUUGCUUCCCUUGAGAGUCUUGACGGAGAUCUUCAUCACUCUCGGCGGCGGAGCCCCUCCUCGAUGGCGAUUCGGCGGUGGCGAGGGGUUAGGGUUCUUC
RNAcentral lists this unclassified non-coding RNA (453 nucleotides) under Hevea brasiliensis (rubber tree). Lineage: Eukaryota; Viridiplantae; Streptophyta; Magnoliopsida; Malpighiales; Euphorbiaceae. The record is from RNAcentral.